RNAcentral lists this ribosomal RNA (195 nucleotides) under uncultured bacterium. Its description in RNAcentral is "partial 16S ribosomal RNA". It matches the Rfam family "Bacterial small subunit ribosomal RNA", at positions 335 to 524 of the family's 1533-position model. The record is from RNAcentral.
ACUCCUACGGAAGGCAGCAGUGGGGAAUUUUGGACAAUGGGCGGAAGCCUGAUCCAGCAGCCGCGUGGAGGAUGAAGGUCUUCGGAUUGUAAACUCCUGUUAGGGGGGACGAAGGGAUGUCGGCAAACAGCCGGCAAACUUGACGGUACCCCCAGAGGAAGCCCCGGCUAACCCUGUGCCAGCAGCCGCGGUAAU